UCUCCUGGAAACGGGUGGUAAUGCCGGAUGCUCCAGUUGAUCGCAUGGUCUUCUGGGAAAGCUUUCGCGGUAUGGGAUGGGGUCGCGUCCUAUCAGCUUGACGGCGGGGUAACGGCCCACCGUGGCUUCGACGGGUAGCCGGCCUGAGAGGGCGACCGGCCACAUUGGGACUGAGAUACGGCCCAGACUCCUACGGGAGGCAGCAGUGGGGAAUAUUGCACAAUGGGCGCAAGCCUGAUGCAGCGACGCCGCGUGAGGGAUGGAGGCCUUCGGGUUGUAAACCUCUUUUAUCGGGGAGCAAGCGAGAGUGAGUUUACCCGUUGAAUAAGCACCGGCUAACUACGUGCCAGCAGCCGCGGUAAUACGUAGGGUGCAAGCGUUAUCCGGAAUUAUUGGGCGUAAAGGGCUCGUAGGCGGUUCGUCGCGUCCGGUGUGAAAGUCCAUCGCUUAACGGUGGAUCCGCGCCGGGUACGGGCGGGCUUGAGUGCGGUAGGGGAGACUGGAAUUCCCGGUGUAACGGUGGAAUGUGUAGAUAUCGGGAAGAACACCACCCC
This 554-nucleotide ribosomal RNA is filed under the name Bifidobacterium longum subsp. suillum. RNAcentral describes it as "bacterial SSU rRNA". It matches the Rfam family "Bacterial small subunit ribosomal RNA", at positions 146 to 715 of the family's 1533-position model. The record is from RNAcentral. Lineage: Bacteria; Bacillati; Actinomycetota; Actinomycetes; Bifidobacteriales; Bifidobacteriaceae.